This 835-nucleotide long non-coding RNA is filed under the name Heterocephalus glaber (naked mole-rat). Its description in RNAcentral is "lncRNA (ENSHGLG00000048092.1)". Lineage: Eukaryota; Metazoa; Chordata; Mammalia; Rodentia; Bathyergidae. The record is from RNAcentral.
GCCGGCGGGCGGGGCGGGGCUCAGGGCUCCGCACUGCCAGGCGGUCGCUGGUGCAGCUGCCCGGCCGGGGACAUGGAGCGGCCGCGGCGCCCUACGCCCCCCGGGGCCGGAGCGGCGAGGGCGGGGACCGCGUAGCGCGCAGCAUGGAGCAGGGGCCGAGGGCAUCGGGCUCUGGAAAAAGUGAGCCAGGGGCACCCAGUCAGCCUGGACGUCACAUGCCAACCUCCGCCUUCCGACCCAGCCCUUUUUCCACUGGAAGGGACCUGAGCCUGGUGCAGACUGGCCUUGGACCCUGGGAGCUACGGGGCAGAGGGGAGCAAGCCCAAGGACCGGGUGGAAGAUGAGCAGGAGGAACCAGGAUAGAUGGUUACAGCUGGGUAGCAGGAAGGACUUACAGACGUGGGGGAUGCGCUGGCUCCAAGUGACCUGGAGGGAAAGGGCUGGGGCUGGAAGGGAGUCAUUGACGGUCUCCCAUAAUUACACAAGUGAACGGGACUUUUUAAAAAUAAAGUAGAGGACUUAAAAACCCAUCAGAGGGGCCUGGGAUUUAGCUCAGUGGCACUGUGCCUGGCUGGAAAGUGCAAGAUCCUGAGUUCCAUCCCUGUUACUGAAAAACAACAACAAACAAAACAAAACAAAAAAACCCCAUCACAGCUGGACAUAGUGGUGGGAGCACUCUGGGAGGCUGAGGCAGGAGGAUUGCAAGUUCAAGUCUAGCCUGGGCAACCUAGUGACUUAACUAGACUGUCUCAAAAUAAAAAAUAAAAAAGGGCUGAGGAUGUAGCUCAUUGCGAAGGCCCCAGCUUCAGUCCCCACUAUGGGGCAUAGAACCACC